Molecule: long non-coding RNA, 2610 nt
Organism: Felis catus (domestic cat)
Lineage: Eukaryota; Metazoa; Chordata; Mammalia; Carnivora; Felidae
Exons: 3
Source: RefSeq, a predicted model, not a curated record
ACGAAACGAGGAAUUAGAAUUCAGGAAAUGUUAUCCAAGUGCUUCUCUCUAAAUGCAUGAGGCAUGAAGUCAGGCUGGAGGGUCCGUGGUGAAUGGUAAAUAUUGAAGGUGCCAACACCAUGCUGGAGGUCACAACACCCCAGGUCUGAGUAGUCCCCCAGUGCGAUGGGUUGAGUUGUGCCCCUCCUGAGAUUCAGAUGGUUCCGUCCUAAUCCCCAGAACCACGGGAUGUGACUCUGCUUGGAGAUAGGGGUUUUUACAGUGGCGUUCAAGUUAAAGUGAGGCCAUUAGGGCGGGUUCUGGUCCAACGUAGCUGGUGAUCUUAUUAAAAGGGGACAUUUACAUGCAGACAUGCAGAGAGAGAAGCUGAUGUGAGAAAAUAUAGGGAGAACGCAGACGUCUGCAAGUCAAAAAGAGAGGGUGGAACAGAUUCUCCCUCCCAGCCCUCAGAAGGUGACACUCGUGCUGACUGACAUCUUGCUCUCAGACUUCCAGCCUCGAAACUGAGACGACCAAUCUGUGUUAUGUAAACCACUCUGUGUGGUGCUUUGUUGUCGAAGGCCUAGCAGACAAAUACACCGAGCUUCCGGAAAAGCCAGAAAAGGACCAAGAUGGCCGCCAUCUCUUCUGCAGUUGUCCCUACUCGGAACCUCCAGGUGCCCCUCUGGUGAAAGAUUCGGACAUUAAAAUACGCCAUGACGACGCUGGGUUGUGUAAAGCGAAUGCCAAGGAAGGGCUUCUAAUCGGACUCAGGGAGUCAGCAAGCCCUUCCGAGAAGUGUCUUCUAAGCAGACGAGUUAGCCAGACAGUGGCAAGGCGAGGAGGACCGCGUGAGCAAGGGUGCAAGGCCAAGAAGAAAAAUACCUCUUUUGUGAAAAGAUCCGUUUUUAGCUUUCCUGUUAGAAAACGCGAGCCAAAAAUUCACACGGGAAAUAGGAUCUGAAACGCCACCUUUCAUUCUGAAAUUCAGGAGAUGUAAGUUUGCAUUUUAUUAUUCUCGGUGGGUUAUUUUCUUUAACUUCCCUUCCGCCCCGCCCUACGUGCUUUGCUAAAGCAUUUUGCUCUGCAGGUUAAAAAAGAAAUAAAUUAUCUGGGAGCGUACAGGAUUGAUGUCGGGAUGCUGGUAAAUGAAAGCAGGAGCCAUUCAGAUUAAUCAGCCCUUUAGUCAUUUCGUUUGUCAACCAUGUAUUGGGUUUUUACUCCGUGCCAAGCAUUAUGCUUCGUGCGGAGGACAUAAAGGUACUUACAUCAUCGUCGCUGUCCUUGAGGGGCUGUCACUGAUGAGGGAAAAGGGCAGGUCACCAGACAAUUUCCACUUCAAAGGACAGACGGAAGACACAACAGUGAGCCCAGCCUGCAGGGUCAAGGGCAAAGUCCCAUGAUGGUAAAAUCAAUAUGGGCCUCCCUCGAAUCCCCCUCUUGAAAGAAUGUUGGAGGGACACCUGACUAGCUAAGAUGGAAGUUGUUCCCCAACUAUCACCUGGUGUGCGUUAUAAAGCGUGCAUAACUCAGCUUUACGCGUAAAUAUUGGAGAGCAUCUCUCCCCUCGAUAAUUGACCUGUCUCACACUUUCAAUAUCCUCCUUCCGAAAGAAAAGGUUUAAUCAGGGCUCAGUGAAAUUAGAAAUGUUAAUGCUGAGAUCAUUGCCACUUUUUAUUAAAGAAUGAUCUUUAAUAACUCAUUUCAACCAUCAGCCCUAAAUGAAGUUUUGAUCCCACCAUCUCCUGACGUGGCGGAAGCAGUCCAGAGUUGGAUUUGGAUUUCCGGGCCAAAUCGUAGCUUUCAGGCAUUCAUCCCAUACGACGGGCUUGUAUCCGGCACAGAGGGUGACUUCCAGUCACCACUCACUUGAGGGUUAAAAUUCAAUGUACAGCUACUCAGGGAUUCUUUGAACUUAAUGAAGUUGACUCACAGAGCUAGGGGAUAGGAAAGGCAGAUUUUGAGGCUGACGGCAUCUGGGGAAAUCGGGGGAAGAAAGCUCCAUGGGAGCAAAUGAUCUGAGGCGAUCUUUUUCCACUCCAGUCCAGCUGACUGUUUUUCAAGCUGGAACGUCACGGGCGCAAGUACAGGAGACAGAAUCAGACUUGUCCCUUGGUCUCCUCCCCACCAGCUCUGACACUUACUACGUACAUUUUGUCUAAAUUCACUAAAACCAUCAUUUUCUCAUCUGUAAAAUGGGUUAAUCCAACCUAUCCUAGAAGGUCGUCAUGCUAAAAAUAUAAAGAAACCCUUCCCUGUCUACCACAAACACAAGAGCUAAAAUAAGAACUGACUAGCAAACCUGGCUAUCAUUUACUUAUUUAUUUCCAACGUAGAUUGAGAGCCAGAUCCGUGCUUCACACUUUUGGAUACCCCAUGUUCUAACAACAGCAAGACCUUGGUGAAUAUUUGGUGAAUUCUUGUACUGUAGAGAUUUCUAUGCAGGAAGCUAGGGUGUCUAAUUCUCUAUUACGUCUUUUUUCUUUUUUUUUUCUUUUUUUUUUUUACCAUUGCCACCAUAGAAUUCACUUUCCACGCUAUCCAAGAAAAUCGACACGUGGAAAAAGUGGAGAAUGUAAAUUUACAGAACUGGAGACAGGAGUUGCAGAUCGAUAAGUCAUGUCACCUCCA